Molecule: unclassified non-coding RNA, 246 nt
Filed under: soil metagenome
Description: partial internal transcribed spacer 1
Source: RNAcentral
UUGAAUAUACUUGAUGGGUUGUGGCUGGCCCUCCGGGGCAUGUGCACACUUGUCUUGCUUUUAUUCAUCCACCUGUGCACCUUUUGUAGUCUUUGUGGGGAUUGAGUCGCCUUGUCAGAUUGGGUUCUGGAUUUGAAGAGUGCCUCUGGGCUCUUUUCUAUUGACUUUUCUCUCCCAAAGUGCUAUGUCUUUCAUAUACCACAUAGUAUGUUGUAGAAUGGUUGAUUAAUGGGAUAUAAUGAUAUA